UAGACAGAGAACUUCAAAUAAUUCCGUCAUUGUUAUGUCUGUCAUGUUCAAGAAAUCAUAAUUGAUUUCUUGAACAUGUCAUUUAUUAAAUAAAUAAUUUAAAGCUCCAUUAAGCUUCAAUUCUAAUAUUUUUCUAACAGUUAUUUUGAUUAAACUGAUAAUGGCAAAUGAAGAGCCUUCCAAAACUGAAGAUUCAGAAAAACUGCGCAAUGAAAUGAUACAGACACGUACCCAUCAUGUUGUGCCCAAUCAUUUUAAAGACAACCUGCUUGUGCCUUUAGGUUGCUUCGCGACAAUAACUGCAUUGGCAAUCGGCUUGUGGAGCUUUCGCAAAGGCCGAAGCAGGCUCUCUCAACAAAUGAUGCAGAUCCGAAUUAUCGCCCAGGGCUUCACUAUUACAGCCCUUGUUGCUAGUUUCUUCACUGCAACUGGAAAAUCUUUCAAAUAGCCUCAUUCAAUUGUUUGAACAAAACUAUUGAGAAUACUCUCAAAUAACCAUUAUUUAAAUGAUUGUAUAAAAUAAAACAAAAUAAAAAUUUUGAUCCACGUAA
Maniola jurtina (meadow brown) is the source of this 551-nucleotide long non-coding RNA. RefSeq lists it as uncharacterized. The record is from RefSeq and is a predicted model, not a curated record. Lineage: Eukaryota; Metazoa; Arthropoda; Insecta; Lepidoptera; Nymphalidae. The transcript has 2 exons.